CCUACGGGCGGCAGCAGUGGGGAAUAUUGGACAAUGGGGGGAACCCUGAUCCAGCCAUGCCGCGUGUGUGAAGAAGGCCCUCGGGUUGUAAAGCACUUUCAGUGAGGAAGAACGCCUGGUGGUUAAUACCCAUCAGGAAAGACAUCACUCACAGAAGAAGCACCGGCUAACUCCGUGCCAGCAGCCGCGGUAAUACGGAGGGUGCGAGCGUUAAUCGGAAUUACUGGGCGUAAAGCGCGCGUAGGUGGCUUGAUAAGCCGGUUGUGAAAGCCCCGGGCUCAACCUGGGAACGGCAUCCGGAAGUGUCUAGCUAGGGUGCAUGAGAGGAAGGUAAAAUUCCCGGUGUAGCGGUGAAAUGCGUAGAGUUCGGGAGGAAUACCAGUGGCGAAGGCGGCCUUCUGGACUGACACUGACACUGAGGUGCGAAAGCGUGGGUAGCAAACAGGAUUAGAUACCCGAGGAGUC
This 465-nucleotide ribosomal RNA is filed under the name Vreelandella stevensii. RNAcentral describes it as "partial 16S ribosomal RNA". It matches the Rfam family "Bacterial small subunit ribosomal RNA", at positions 338 to 795 of the family's 1533-position model. The record is from RNAcentral. Lineage: Bacteria; Pseudomonadati; Pseudomonadota; Gammaproteobacteria; Oceanospirillales; Halomonadaceae.